Molecule: long non-coding RNA, 536 nt
Filed under: Gossypium raimondii (Peruvian cotton)
Lineage: Eukaryota; Viridiplantae; Streptophyta; Magnoliopsida; Malvales; Malvaceae
Description: long non-coding RNA (GRAI_LNC006579)
Source: RNAcentral
CUAUUUUCUUUUCUGUUGCUAUUUUGUUAUUUUCCUUUUCUCUUUCUAUUUGCUGCUUGUUUGUUGCGUCUGUUGCAGGUGCAACUGGAGUGGACGCAAGUGCAGAGACGUCGUUGAUGCGCGCGGAGAACCCCUGGUUUCGGCCACAAUGCAAACAGUUUCAGAAACCCUUAGGGUUUCUGGAAACUUGAAUUUGGGCCUCCAAUAUUGGGCUAGGGUUGUUUGGAUUUUAGUGGGUUAUUUUGGGUAUUGGGUUUAUUCGGGUUUUUCUAGGCUGCUUAGGUAUUUCGGGUUUUGUAAUCGGGUUUGGGUUUAGGGUCUAUUUCGGGUUUGGACCUUAAUUGUUUGGGUUAAGUUUUGGACUAUUGGACUUUUAAUUUUGAUUUUGUUUUAUUUAGUUUUUAUAUAUGUAUAUGUAUAUAUAUAUAUAUAUAUAUAUAUAUAUAUAUUAUUUUUUGUGAUGUAUAUGGGCCGGGCAUAAAUUGGGUAUUACAUAUAUGUUUAAUUGGCUUGAAUCAUGAAAGUACCACUGAGCU